UCUCUCUCAUUUUUCCUCUCUCUUUCUCUCGGCCGCACGGCCUCUCCCCCUUUCUUAUCCCCGACCUCUCCUUCUCUUCCUCUGCCAUCACUGGAGAUCACCACCUCCGGCCACCACUCCACUACACCGCCAUCACCAACAGAGUGAAGGACGGCGACCCAAACCCAAGAGAAAUCGAAGCCGUGCAUCGACUCCAGCCUCCGCAUGUGACCCUCCCAAUCUGCACGCCACUGUUCCACGACCCUCACGGGUUUCCGGUCAUCUUCUCACCACACCACCAUCACCGUCGCACUCAGCAAGUAAUGGAGGAUAAAACCCAGAGGCCGGAACAUCCCGUAACCACCCUCAUUGAAGUCGUCAGCUCUGGGUUUCUUCAUUCUCCAAGUUCUAGUUUGAAUCGCGCAAGACCACCUCCAAGGAUAGAAUUAGCUCGUACUUGUCCACCGAAACCCCAUGGUUUCGACCUCCAGUUCUGGUCAAAACCACCCUACGCGCCUCACGCGUCGCCACAGGCGCAUGGACCACCGCAGCUCGUCGCCGGCUUUCUAGGCUGCUUGAUUUGGUAUGUGGAUUCGGGAAAUUAUGGAGUUUUGCAGGAGAUGGAGGUUGCUGGAAUGGUUUUGAUGGAAAUUGAUUACGGUAAGGACAUUACACAAUUUCGGUUCUGUGUCCUAAGAAAGUUUUCAAUGCAAAGACAUAAUCCCAAAAGCAAUUUUUCAGUCGACCUGUUCAAACAAAAAGAAAAAAAGUUUCCGCGUUUGCUUCUUUUCGCAUUUUCCCUCCCUAAAUUUCAGAUUCCCUCUUUCUUCCAAAUUUCAGAUUCCCUCUUCAAUUCAAACCCACCGAUUUCAUUCCCUUUAUUUGUAUUUUAUAUGUUCUAUACCUUGCUUUGCUCUUCGCAACAGAAGAAAAACAAAUUGGUUUCUUGAUAUUCUAUCGGUGUUAUGCUCUCCUGACCUAAUUUUGUUCUAUCAACCCAGAUAGAAGGUUGAGGAGUCAAUAACUCCAAAAUCAGGACUAUAGAAGAUGCAGACUUUCAGAUAAUUGCUUCUUUGAAUCCUCUUAUAGCUGGAGGAUAGAUCUGGGUCUCGAACGAGCACGUCAUGUUCAAGCCAAAGGUUAUCAAUUUUUGCCUUUAAUCAUUUGGUUCCCUUGUCUGAGCUACUAAAAGAGAUGCAGUGGUUAUUGUCUAACAAUCCAGGUUAUCAAUUUUUACCUCUUUCAAAGAAAUUCAUUUUCAUUAUCAAGCCAAGGAAGUCAUUAACCUCGCAUUGUCUUUCAAACAUUUGUUACUUCUGAGAUUCGAAUUGAUAUAUAGGCAUUAUUUGAAAUGUGAGGCAAAUGAUCUCCUUGGUGAAGUUAAAAUGCUUGAGAACAUCAUAGAUGUGUUUGGCCUUACAUGCACACCACCUGUUUGAUGAAAGUUCCAAGUGACUGAAAAGAAGUGCAAGUUUAAUUUAUAACAGUUGUAUUGUAGUAUAUACCAUUGGCUACCAUAUCAGUCAGAUCAUUUAUUUUAUUUAUUGCUUCCUUUUCAGUCGUAGCUCUUCAAAAUCUUUACAAGACCCUGAACUAACUUCCCCUUUGAUCUUAUGCAGUAAACAAAUGUGUUUUCCCUUUAGUUGCAAAAUGAUUCUCAGCAAGGGAAUUUUUCUUGUACUGAAUCUAAAUUGGAAGUAAAGGGAGGUGGCUUAUUGACAUUAAUGGGUUUUAAAAAGUUGUUUGUAGCCUACUUAACAACCAACUCUUUCUAUCAUUAAAGUCAAUACUUGUAUUUCCAGUUUCUGUGCUGCUCUUUCUUUUCAGCUAACUAGCAUAUUGGAUGUGUUCCUGUAAAAUGUGUUAGUAUAUCCUACUCUCUGCUCUCUAGAUCAGUAAUCCUACCCUGUCCCAAAAAAAAAAAAAAAAAAAACUAGUGAUCCAGUAUUAUUUAAGAGAGAGAUUGAUUAAUCAACUCUUAUUAUUUCAUGAAUGAGGCGUCUUUGAAAAAAUGGCCCCAAUUUCUGAGAUAGAAUGAGUAACUUAGAGCCCUUUUUUUACACAGAACACUGAUCUUCAUUUACUGUGAAUCAUGAGCUUCUAGCUACUAUUUUUCUAACUAAUAAAUUGUACGAAUCAUGUCUCUUUUUCGUGUUAUAGGUAGGAAAGAGUGAUCCCUCCUAUUCUAUCCCAAAGAGCGACUCAUAUCAAGCAGCUCAACCUAUUGAUGAAGGUAUUUAUUGACUUGAAUGAUCGUUGUUAAUGUAUGAUGGCAAUCUAUGACAUUUGAUGACUAUCGUCUAAUUGCCGUUGUAUUUUAUAGUUGUUGAGAAGAAGGCCACGUACUUAUCUAACUUCCCAUCAUUCAUACAUACAUAAAGGAGAGGCAUCAAGGCAUAGGGGAGUGACAGCGAAAGUAAAGGCUGUUGUUGAUGCAGCUUAUGCUGGCAUCUUCGUUGUCAUCACAGAGUGUGUUCUUCUUCAACAUUUUAUUAAAUAUUGUUAGAAAACUAGUUCUGUUGAUGUAAUCACUUUGUUGGAUAUAUGGAUGAAUGUAUCGGAUUUUUAUAUAAAUGAAUGUGUUUUGGAUGUGAUGUCA
This is a long non-coding RNA of Rosa rugosa (rugosa rose), 2578 nucleotides long. RefSeq lists it as uncharacterized. The transcript is spliced from 4 exons. The record is from RefSeq and is a predicted model, not a curated record. Lineage: Eukaryota; Viridiplantae; Streptophyta; Magnoliopsida; Rosales; Rosaceae.